ACGGGGUGUUAGGGCACGACACCGGAGAGGGAGCCUGAGAAACGGCUACCACAUCCAAGGAUGGCAGCAGGCGCGCAAAUUACCCAAUCCCGACACGGGGAGGUAGUGACAAUAAAUAACAAUACGGGGUUCUUUCGGAUUUCGUAAUUGGAAUGAGUACAAUUUAAAUCUCUUAACGAGGAACAAUUGGAGGGCAAGUCUGGUGCCAGCAGCCGCGGUAAUUCCAGCUCCAAUAGCGUAUAUUAAGGUUGCUGCAGUUAAAAAGCUCGUAGUUGAAUUUCGGGACCAAUAUGUCGGUCGUGCCUCGGUACGUACUGGCAUCGUUGGUUUCUCCCUUCUGACGAACCAUGAUGUCAUUUAUUUGGUGUCGUGGGGAAUCAGGACUGUUACUUUGAAAAAAUUAGAGUGUUUAAAGCAGGCUCACGCUUGAAUACAUUAGCAUGGAAUAAUGAAAUAGGACGUUUGAUUCUAUUUUGUUGGUUUCUAGGAUCGACGUAAUGAUUAAUAGGGAUAGUUGGGGGCAUUAGUAUUCAAUUGUCAGAGGUGAAAUUCUUGGAUUUAUUGAAGACUAACUACUGCGAAAGCAUUUGCCAAGGAUGUUUUCAUUAAUCAAGAACGAAAGUUAGGGGAUCGAAGACGAUCAGAUACCGUCGUAGUCUUAACCAUAAACUAUGCCGACUAGGGAUCGGAUGAUGUUAAUUUUUUAAAUUACCCCUUCU
RNAcentral lists this ribosomal RNA (719 nucleotides) under uncultured Glomeromycotina. RNAcentral describes it as "SSU rRNA". It matches the Rfam family "Eukaryotic small subunit ribosomal RNA", at positions 362 to 1086 of the family's 1831-position model. The record is from RNAcentral. Lineage: Eukaryota; Fungi; Glomeromycota.